UACGUAGGGGGCUAGCGUUGUCCGGAAUCAUUGGGCGUAAAGAGCGCGUAGGCGGCUAGAUAAGUCCGGUGUGAAAGUCACAGGCUCAACCUGUGAAUGCCGCUGGAAACUGUCUGGCUAGAGUCCGGAAGGGGCGAGUGGAAUUCCUGGUGUAGCGGUGAAAUGCGCAGAUAUCAGGAGGAACACCGAUGGCGAAGGCAGGUCACUGGGCCGCAACUGACGCUGAGGAGCGAAAGCAUGGGGAGCGAACAGG
RNAcentral lists this ribosomal RNA (253 nucleotides) under uncultured bacterium. Its description in RNAcentral is "partial 16S ribosomal RNA". It matches the Rfam family "Bacterial small subunit ribosomal RNA", at positions 524 to 776 of the family's 1533-position model. The record is from RNAcentral.